ACCAAAGAGUCAAAAGAAUGU
Molecule: non-coding RNA, 21 nt
Organism: Caenorhabditis elegans
Lineage: Eukaryota; Metazoa; Nematoda; Chromadorea; Rhabditida; Rhabditidae
Source: Ensembl